UUAAAAAGCUCGUAGUUGGAUUUGUGGUGUACUUCCGGCGGCCCGUCACUAUGUGAUGGAGCUUGCUGAAGUCGCCAUCCUCGGGUGGAUCCUGUGUGGCAUUAAGUUGUCGUGCAGGGGAUGCCCAUCGUUUACUGUGAAAAAAUUAGAGUGUUCAAAGCAGGCUUAUGCCGUUGAAUAUAUUAGCAUGGAAUAAUAAGAUAGGACCUUGGUACUAUUUUGUUGGUUUGCGCACCAAGGUAAUGAUUAAUAGGGACAGUUGGGGGUAUUCGUAUUUCAUUGUCAGAGGUGAAAUUCUUGGAUUUUUGAAAGACGAACUACUGCGAAAGCAUUUACCGAGGAUGUUUUCAUUAAUCAAGAACGAAAGUUAGGGGAUCGAAGAUGAUUAGAUACCCAUCGUAAGUCUUAACCAUAAACUAUGCCCCGACCAAGGGAUUGGUGGAGUUUCGUUAUGUCUCCAUCAGCACCUUAUGAGAAAAUCACAAGUCUUUGGGGUUCCGGGGGGAGUAUGGU
RNAcentral lists this ribosomal RNA (513 nucleotides) under uncultured eukaryote. RNAcentral's name for it is "SSU rRNA". It matches the Rfam family "Eukaryotic small subunit ribosomal RNA", at positions 619 to 1129 of the family's 1831-position model. The record is from RNAcentral.